UGGGCCACUACACCUCCAGGUUGAGUAUGGUGUCUGAACGUAAAAGCUCCAGCAAUGGCCGCAGAAACCCUCUCAUCAGCUGCACAAGGCCAGCAUCAGUAUCUCUUUGCUGCAGUAAUACUGUUAGUAGACAAUUCACCAUGACGGUGGCAACUUUUGAGGGGAGUGGUAAUCAAUCCAAUGCAGCAUCAUCAAAAACUGAUCAAUUUUGUGAUCACACCUUCAA
RNAcentral lists this unclassified non-coding RNA (226 nucleotides) under Hevea brasiliensis (rubber tree). The record is from RNAcentral. Lineage: Eukaryota; Viridiplantae; Streptophyta; Magnoliopsida; Malpighiales; Euphorbiaceae.